CUUUCUCAAGAACUUAUGAGUAAGGAAAAUAACGACCCGGGGUGACACCCAGGUCUUCACUGCCGAUGUGAGACGAAUUUUUGCACAGGUAAAGGUCGCCCGCCGGGUGACCCACCUACUUUGCGGGAUGCCUUUGGGGCGCGAUCUGCCCG
This is a small nuclear RNA of Suncus etruscus (white-toothed pygmy shrew), 152 nucleotides long. RefSeq annotates it as U12 minor spliceosomal RNA. The transcript has a single exon. Lineage: Eukaryota; Metazoa; Chordata; Mammalia; Eulipotyphla; Soricidae. The record is from RefSeq and is a predicted model, not a curated record.